GACGAACGCUGGCGGCGUGCCUAAUACAUGCAAGUAGAACGCUGAAGAGAGGAGCUUGCUCUUCUUGGAUGAGUUGCGAACGGGUGAGUAACGCGUAGGUAACCUGCCUGGUAGCGGGGGAUAACUAUUGGAAACGAUAGCUAAUACCGCAUAAAAUUGAUUAUUGCAUGAUAAUUAAUUGAAAGAUGCAACUGCAUCACUACCAGAUGGACCUGCGUUGUAUUAGCUAGUUGGUGAGGUAACGGCUCACCAAGGCGACGAUACAUAGCCGACCUGAGAGGGUGAUCGGCCACACUGGGACUGAGACACGGCCCAGACACCUACGGGAGGCAGCAGUAGGGAAUCUUCGGCAAUGGGGGGAACCCUGACCGAGCAACGCCGCGUGAGUGAAGAAGGUUUUCGGAUCGUAAAGCUCUGUUGUAAGAGAAGAACGGGUGUGAGAGUGGAAAGUUCACACUGUGACGGUAUCUUACCAGAAAGGGACGGCUAACUACGUGCCAGCAGCCGCGGUAAUACGUAGGUCCCGAGCGUUGUCCGGAUUUAUUGGGCGUAAAGCGAGCGCAGGCGGUUAGAUAAGUCUGAAGUUAAAGGCUGUGGCUUAACCAUAGUAUGCUUUGGAAACUGUUUAACUUGAGUGCAGAAGGGGAGAGUGGAAUUCCAUGUGUAGCGGUGAAAUGCGUAGAUAUAUGGAGGAACACCGGUGGCGAAAGCGGCUCUCUGGUCUGUAACUGACGCUGAGGCUCGAAAGCGUGGGGAGCAAACAGGAUUAGAUACCCUGGUAGUCCACGCCGUAAACGAUGAGUGCUAGGUGUUAGGCCCUUUCCGGGGCUUAGUGCCGCAGCUAACGCAUUAAGCACUCCGCCUGGGGAGUACGACCGCAAGGUUGAAACUCAAAGGAAUUGACGGGGGCCCGCACAAGCGGUGGAGCAUGUGGUUUAAUUCGAAGCAACGCGAAGAACCUUACCAGGUCUUGACAUCCCUCUGACCGCUCUAGAGAUAGAGUUUUCCUUCGGGACAGAGGUGACAGGUGGUGCAUGGUUGUCGUCAGCUCGUGUCGUGAGAUGUUGGGUUAAGUCCCGCAACGAGCGCAACCCCUAUUGUUAGUUGCCAUCAUUCAGUUGGGCACUCUAGCGAGACUGCCGGUAAUAAACCGGAGGAAGGUGGGGAUGACGUCAAAUCAUCAUGCCCCUUAUGACCUGGGCUACACACGUGCUACAAUGGCUGGUACAACGAGUCGCAAGCCGGUGACGGCAAGCUAAUCUCUGAAAGCCAGUCUCAGUUCGGAUUGUAGGCUGCAACUCGCCUACAUGAAGUCGGAAUCGCUAGUAAUCGCGGAUCAGCACGCCGCGGUGAAUACGUUCCCGGGCCU
Molecule: ribosomal RNA, 1369 nt
Filed under: uncultured bacterium
Lineage: Bacteria
Description: bacterial SSU rRNA
Rfam family: Bacterial small subunit ribosomal RNA
Source: RNAcentral